CUGAAUCUAAAAAAAUGUCUCUUAAAAAAUAAGAGAUCAACCCACAUCUAAAAAGAAAAAAUAGACGGGAGCUGCCCUCCCUCUCCUAGGUCUCGCUCUUUCUUUCACGCCUCCAUUUUUUUCUUUCUCAUCCCCGCACACAAGAACCUCCCUCCAGAUCUACUGAGAAGUUGUGUUCCCUCCCCAUCAUCGCAAUCGACGGCUUCAUCUCCGCCUCCAGCUUCAUCGUCGAUGUCCUCUCCGACACCUGCACAUCCGAAGAUUUCUACAAGUAAACUUUUCGUCCUCUCUCUUCUCAUGCUAUGUAAUCUUUGCUCUAUUUAAUCAGAAGGUUUGUAUAUUUCAUAUGCAAGUCUCGAUGAUUUGAUUUCACAGAAAAGUUGCUUCUUUUUUUUUUCUUUUUCUUUUUAUGUUAACUAAAAUCAAAUGUGUAUAUGUUUUAUAAAUCAGAAAUCUAAUCAGACUUGCCCCUAUUUAUCUUGGUAUUUUUUUUUGAAAUCAAACCUUUGAAUGUGGCUAAAAUCUGAAAUCUGAUUAUAUUGUUUGAUAUGCUUGAAAUAUGAUGUUAUGUUGUUAAAUAAAAUAUGAGAAAUCAGAGUUACCUCGAAUCAGAGUUGCCUCUAUUAUUUGAUAUGAUGUUAAUGAUGUUAUGAAAUCUAAUAAAUCAUAAAAUAUUUUGUUAAAUGAUGUUAUGGAAUCAUAAAAUAUGAUGUCAAAUAAUGUUAUGAAAUCUGAUAAAUCAGAAAUGAUAUUAUGAUGUUUAAUGUUGCUGAAAAUAUGCAUUUAUUUUGCUUGAAUGUUGCUGAAAUAUGUAUUUGUUUGUUGAAUUGAUCAAAGACAUGAGAGAAAACUCGUCAAGCAUAAGGGGGAGAAAGUGAUGACCAAAACAUACAUGAUAUGAAAUGGGGUUCAGAAGGCAACGAAUAUAUGACUAAUUUGUGUAACCAAAUUGCAAAUCAGUUGUGGUUAAAUGCUUAAAAUUAAAUUUGUAGGAUUUUGUUUGGAUUUCAGUAUGAUUUGUGGAUUUAAAAAUAUUUAUGUUUGAUUUGAAUUUGUGUUUAAUUUUGAUUAAUGCUCAAUUUGGAUUUUAUAUGGUGUUUAUAUUUUUUUAUAGAUAUUUAAGAAAUUGAUUCGGUUAUUUUAU
RNAcentral lists this long non-coding RNA (1144 nucleotides) under Lactuca sativa (garden lettuce). RNAcentral's name for it is "long non-coding RNA (LSAT_LNC007071)". The record is from RNAcentral. Lineage: Eukaryota; Viridiplantae; Streptophyta; Magnoliopsida; Asterales; Asteraceae.